This 53-nucleotide transfer RNA is filed under the name Longicollum sp. (in: thorny-headed worms). RNAcentral's name for it is "tRNA-Gly". The record is from RNAcentral. Lineage: Eukaryota; Metazoa; Acanthocephala; Palaeacanthocephala; Echinorhynchida; Pomphorhynchidae.
AGUUAAACAGUAUAUGAGUACGAACAAUUUCCAUUUGUUAGGGUAAUUAGCUA